This 441-nucleotide ribosomal RNA is filed under the name uncultured bacterium. RNAcentral's name for it is "partial 16S ribosomal RNA". It matches the Rfam family "Bacterial small subunit ribosomal RNA", at positions 338 to 795 of the family's 1533-position model. The record is from RNAcentral.
CCUACGGGAGGCAGCAGUGGGGAAUAUUGCACAAUGGGGGAAACCCUGAUGCAGCGACGCCGCGUGAGUGAAGAAGUAUUUCGGUAUGUAAAGCUCUAUCAGCAGGGAAGAAGCAAGACGGUACCUGACUAAGAAGCCCCGGCUAACUACGUGCCAGCAGCCGCGGUAAUACGUAGGGGGCAAGCGUUAUCCGGAUUUACUGGGUGUAAAGGGAGCGUAGACGGUAUGGCAAGUCUGAAGUGAAAGCCCAGGGCUUAACCCGGGGACUGCUUUGGAGACUGUUAGACUAGAGUGCUGGAGAGGUAAGUAGAAUUCCUAGUGUAGCGGUGAAAUGCGUAGAGAUGAGGAGGAAUACCAGAGGCGAAGGCGGCUUACUGGAAAGGUACUGACGUUGAGGCGCGAAAGCGUGGGGAGCAAACAGGAUUAGAUACCCCAGUAGUC